CUUUCGCAUUUAUGCUCCAACCCAGACCUCCACUGACGCUUCCUCUUCUCCCUCCCUCUAUUCAGUUUCCACCGAUAUACCACUUCCAAGCUUUUAAUUUUAUUGUGAAAUUCUUCUUUGAUUCUUUCUGGAUUAGUCUGGCUGAAUAGAUUCAGACAACGGAGGAGCAAAAAAACAAAAAAAAACAGGCGCCAAGCUUGAGACAGAGUGUUGUUUCCCAUCCCCCAAAAAACAAUCGUUUUUUUUUUUUUGGUUUCUUUUCAAUAACAAACUCCUGCCUCGUCAUAAGUUCUUCUGCCUAAAUCUUGAUGGAUUGAAGUGGUUCGGGGUUAGGAUAUAAGAAUAUCUGUUCCAUUGUUUCGUUUACUUUUGAUUCUGCUACUUUCUGUUAUAUAAAGUUUUGGGAUUCCAUAUUUUUUUUUUCUGUGGAGGGGUUGUGCUUAUUAUUAGAAUUGUUGGACUUUGAUAUUGGGGAUACUUUCGUUUUGUUUGUUUGUUGUUAAACUAUCAAUGGGGAAGCCCACCGGUAAGAAGAAGGAUCCUGUAACACAUAAGGCUGCGCAUGCAAGCGGCAAGCAGAGCAAGCCCUCUGAGAGGACUUCCAAAGCUUUCGACGAAGACACGGCAAUCUUCAUCAACAUGUCACAGGAUCUCAAGGAAGAAGGCAAUAGACUCUUUCAGAAAAGGGAUCAUGAGGGGGCUGUGUUGAAGUAUGAAAAGGCCCUCAAGCUCCUUCCCGGAAACCACAUAGAUGUGGCACACUUGCGUACCAAUAUGGCUGCGUGUUAUAUGCAACUCGGUCUUGGAGAAUACCCUCGAGCAAUCAAUGAAUGUAAUCUAGCUCUUGAAGUAUCACAAAGAUAUAGCAAGGCUCUAUUGAGAAGAGCAAAGUGCUAUGAAGCAUUGAAUCGAUUCGAUUAUGCGCUCAGAGAUGUUAAUUUUGUUUUGACCGUGGAGCCUAAUAAUCUCAAUGCAUUGGAGAUUCUUGGGAGUUUGAAAAAGACCAUGGAAGAAAAAGGCAUCACUAUUGAUGAGAAAGAUUUGGCAAGUUUGGAGCAACCUACCGCUGCCCCUGUGAGCAAAGUGGUAAGAGAAAAAAUAAAGAAAAAGAAAAGUAAAAAGAGUGAGAGCAAGGCAAAGGAUAAGGUGAUUCUUGAGGAUACUGCGAAUGCUGUUAAAGAUAAAGAAGUGGUGUCAAAAACAAUUGCGAAAAAGGAAGUGGUUCUGGAGCCUGUUAAAGAAGAAAAAGUAGUCACAAGGACGGCGAAGUUGGUAUUUGGAGAGGAUAUAAGGUGGGCGCAGUUGCCAUUGAAUUGUAGCAUGAGGUUGGUGAGGGAUAUAAUUAAGGAUCGAUUUGCUGGAUUGAAGGGUGUUCUUGUUAAAUAUAAGGAUCAAGAGGGUGAUUUGGUUACCAUCACUACUACUGAUGAAUUAAGAUUAGCUGAAUCUUCAGGUGAUGCCUUGGGUUCUCUUCGACUCUAUAUUACGGAAGUCAAUCCAGAGAAGGAACCGACUUAUGAUGGAAUAACCAAUGGGGAUGAGAUGCCAGGUGAUGGUAUUGAGCAUGCGCCAAAGGAAGCAGGCAAGGAUUUGGCGAAUAAGCUGACUAAUGUGGAGGAUUGGAUAAUCCAAUUUGCUAGGAUGUUCAAGAACCAUGUUGGGUUUGAUUCUGAUUCAUAUUUGGAUAUGCAUGAGGUGGGAAUGAAGCUAUAUUCAGAAGCCUUGGAAGAUGUGGUAACGAGUGACGAUGCUCAAGAGCUUUUUGAAAUCGCUGCAGAUAAAUUUCAAGAGAUGGCGGCUUUGGCAUUAUUUAAUUGGGGUAAUGUUCACAUGUCCAGGGCAAGGAGGCGUGUUUCCAUUUCAGAGGAUGGGUCAAAAGAAUCUGCUCAUGAGCGAAUUAAAGCUGCAUAUGAGUGGGCAAGAAAGGAGUACAAGAAAGCAGAGAUGAGAUAUGAAGAAGCCUUGAAAAUGAAACCAGACUUCUAUGAGGGAUUUCUGGCACUUGGCCAUCAGCAGUUCGAGCAAGCAAAGCUCUGCUGGUAUUAUGCAUUGGCAUGCAAAAUGAAUUUAGAGGAUGGCCCUUCCAGUGAGGUUUUACAACUAUAUAACAAGGCAGAGGACAGCAUGGAUAGAGGCAUGCUGAUGUGGGAGGAGAUUGAAGAGCAGCGUUUAAAUGGACUAUCCAAAUUUGAUAAAUAUAGAGCGCAUUUGGAAAAAAUGGGCUUAGAUGGUCUUCUCAAGGAUAUUUCUUCUGAUGAAGCUGCAGAGCAGGCUACAAAUGUGAGGUCCCAAAUAUAUAUUUUAUGGGGCACCAUAUUGUAUGAGCGUUCUGUUGUGGAAUAUAAGAUUGGCUUAUCUUCAUGGGAGGAAUGUCUGGAGGUUGCUGUUGAGAAGUUUGAACUUGCCGGAGCUUCUCCAACAGAUAUAGGGGUCAUGAUAAAGAAUCAUUGUUCCAAUCAAACAGCACUAGAAGGUUUGGGUUUCAAAAUCGACGAGAUAGUACAGGCGUGGAAUGAAAUGUAUGAUGCUCAGAGGUGGCAAUUUGGUGUACCAUCGUUUCGCCUUGAACCACUGUUCCGGCGGCGUGUUCCGAGACUUCAUCACAUCUUGGAGCAUUUUUGAGUUUUCUUCAAGAGCUUGAAAUUCUUUGGAGGCAUAUAUUCAUGCCUCUGUUUCUUAAUAUUUGUGAUGGCUUUUUCAUCCCAUUUAAAACAGGGCUUUCGUACGCUCAUGGAUUAAUCGUCUCUCGAGACAUCACUGUAAAAGCGUGUUAUAUCUGAAGUUUUGGGCAUAUAUACUUUUGGCAAUGCAAGGGGACAUGUGUCGUUGCAUUGUGUUGACCAACAACAUUUGUGAGAACAAUGUUGAUGCUCUGUUUUCUUGGAUGAUAGAGAAACAUAGUGAAACCAUAGGUCUUGAGUUUGUGUGCUUUUCGAUUGUACAGAGAAUUUUUUUUCAAUGUUUCAAGCAACAUUUGAAACAUGCUUGCUUUCCUUGUUUGGUGUUUUCAAUUUCACCAUUGUUAAAAUCAUGAGGGUGUACUGAAUUGAUGGAUUUCUUGUCUUU
This is an RNA transcript of Neltuma alba, 3066 nucleotides long. It is a transcript of the gene named protein PHOX1-like, with no coding region annotated. The record is from RefSeq and is a predicted model, not a curated record. Lineage: Eukaryota; Viridiplantae; Streptophyta; Magnoliopsida; Fabales; Fabaceae. The transcript has 3 exons.